Long non-coding RNA from Tribolium madens (black flour beetle), 1019 nucleotides. RefSeq lists it as uncharacterized. Lineage: Eukaryota; Metazoa; Arthropoda; Insecta; Coleoptera; Tenebrionidae. The transcript is spliced from 3 exons. The record is from RefSeq and is a predicted model, not a curated record.
AUCAUUAUGUAAACUAACCGUCAGUAUUACCAUAUGUACAUGUAGAUUUCAAACAAAACCAAUUUAGAAAGAUAUUUUACCUACCUAUAGGUAAAAUUAUGAAAAACGUUGCGUUUUACAUUGCUUUUAUAUUUGCAAUGGAUGUCGUCCACUUAGCGCAAGUGUGUUAUCAAUGCACAUCAACAAUGGAUUCGGAGUGCAAAGACACUUUAAAAGAGAAUUUUCCUAAUCAAUGUCUUAAUCGUAGCAUUGAAGCAAUACAGUGUUUUCGAUAUAAAUAUCAGCUAAAUGGAGAAAAUAUAACACACAUUGUACGGGGAUGUCGGAAUUUGGCUGAUAACUGCGAUAAUAUUAAAAAAGCUUUGCAAAAUGAACACAAAACACUCAAAGGUUGCUGGUUGUGUACAAAUGAUUUGUGUAACAACAGGGAUAUUGGACAAUCUAAAACGCUCCUAGGAAAAAAAACCACCAAAACACAAACUAAUAUUAGUGUUUCAGUUUUUGGAUUUUUGUCUAAUAUUUAUUAUUGGCUUUUUUUCUAUUAUUUUGAAAUGUUUACAAAAAAUUUUUCUUCUUACUUAAUUUAUGUAAAGUAGGUAACUAAUGUUUGUUCCAUUUAAUAAACAAUUGUCAGGGGUAUAAUAGUAGUUCAUAUCGCUUUACAUUACGUGUACCCGGAUUUGGGGUGGGCAAACACACCUAGUCAUUUUAAUAGAUGUGUUCCUGAAAAAACAAUUGGAUGUUUAAAGUCGGAUUUCGACUACUCAAUUUUUAGAAAUUUACACAGGGAAGUGGCUACUAUGAAUUGACCGCGACUAGUUCAUAAAUUUUUUCAAUUAAAACCAUACAACGAAAAUUCUUUCUGAUUGUGACACUGACAAUUGUUUAUUAAAUGAAACAGAUUUUACUAUUAUAUUGCCCAGGUUAAAUACGUACAAAUUGUCGCUAUCAUGUCUUGAAUUAUUGCUCGAAUUAUUGUUUUUAUCCACAAUCACUUUAUAAAGAGACUUUAUUCCACA